AUGAAGAGGAUCUUGAGCUCUCUGCUGGGGCUUUUGUGCACCCACAUUUUCUGUGUGAGAGGGAUGCAGGUGGAGCAGAGUCCUCCAGCCCUCAUCCUCCAGGAGGGAGCCAAUUCCACUCUGUCAUGCAGUUUUUCUGACUCAGUGACCAAUGUACAGUGGUUUCGCCAAGAUCCUGGGGGACGCCUCGUCAACCUGCUCUCCAUUCCUUUAGGGACAAAGCAGAAUGGAAGAUUAGAGGCCACGACAGUCCCUAAAGAACGCCACAGCUCAUUGUCCAUCUCCUCUUCUCAGCCCACAGACUCAGCCACUUAUUUCUGUGCUGCAGCCCACAGUGCUCCCCAGCAGCCUGCAGCUGGUACAUAA
This is a non-coding RNA of Heterocephalus glaber (naked mole-rat), 366 nucleotides long. The record is from the annotation of a RefSeq genome assembly. Lineage: Eukaryota; Metazoa; Chordata; Mammalia; Rodentia; Bathyergidae.